RNAcentral lists this ribosomal RNA (870 nucleotides) under uncultured bacterium. RNAcentral's name for it is "bacterial SSU rRNA". It matches the Rfam family "Bacterial small subunit ribosomal RNA", at positions 27 to 887 of the family's 1533-position model. The record is from RNAcentral.
GAGCGAACGUUAGCGGCGCGCCUAACACAUGCAAGUCGCACGGAGUAGCAAUACUCAGUGGCGCACGGGUGCGUAACACGUAGAUAAUCUGCCCUUCGAAGGGGGAUAACGUUCCGAAAGGAGCGCUAAUACCGCAUACAGCUGCCUGGGGUUCGCUCCGGGCAGGCAAAGGCUGGGACCGCAAGGCCAGUCGUCGAAGGAGGAGUCUGCGGCCCAUCAGCUAGUUGGGGAGGUAAUGGCUCACCAAGGCAGAGACGGGUAGCUGGUCUGAGAGGAUGAUCAGCCACACUGGUACUGGAACACGGACCAGACUCCUACGGGAGGCAGCAGUGGGGAAUCUUGGUCAAUGGGCGCAAGCCUGAACCAGCGACGCCGCGUGAGUGAUGAAGGCCUUCGGGUUGUAAAGCUCUGUGGGGAGAGACGAAAGAGCGCAUUCGAAUAGGGUGCGUGUUGACGGUAUCUCCUUAGCAAGCACCGGCUAACUCUGUGCCAGCAGCCGCGGUAAGACAGAGGGUGCAAACGUUGCUCGGAAUCACUGGGCGUAAAGGGCGUGUAGGCGGGAAUGUAAGUCGGGCGUGAAAUCCCUAGGCUCAACCUAGGAACUGCACUCGAAACUGCGUUUCUUGAGUACUGGAGAGGAAAGCGGAAUACCUGGUGUAGAGGUGAAAUUCGUAGAUAUCAGGUGGAACACCGGUGGCGAAGGCGGCUUUCUGGACAGUAACUGACGCUGAGACGCGAAAGCGUGGGGAGCAAACAGGAUUAGAUACCCUGGUAGUCCACGCUGUAAACGAUGAGCGCUAGGUGUCGUGGGUAUUGACCCCCGCGGUGCCGAAGCUAACGCAUUAAGCGCUCCGCCUGGGAAGUACGGUC